Molecule: long non-coding RNA, 1062 nt
Organism: Astatotilapia calliptera (eastern happy)
Lineage: Eukaryota; Metazoa; Chordata; Actinopteri; Cichliformes; Cichlidae
Source: Ensembl
GCGUAACAUUUCCUGUCCGAGGAUAGCAAGAAAAAUGCCUUUGCUGUAACACCACUGUAGGACAUAACAGGUUCUACUUUUUUCUUUUCUUUUUAUAGUCACCUACAUUAUAGUUGAUUUAUAAGUUUCUAUUUAUUAUUCCUUCCAGUGAAAACCAUACAACCUGGCGAACCUGAUGUGGGCCUGGUGUCUUGACGCAGCGCUGGGCCUUUAGUGGGCCUCUGAUGUCGUCCUCAUCCUCCUCCAGGUUUUACGCAGAGCUGCACAUCACCGGAGUGUCCUUAGUUCACUCUUGGAUGCCUAAUAUAUAAGGGCCAGUACUACCCAUCGUCCUCUCUGAUGGCCAUACAGAGUCCAUUUACCUGCUGUUGAUAAUGAGGCAGAUAACGAAGCAGACAAAACUCGUCUAAUAUUUAGAGGUGAUGGAACUGGGUCUGGUUACACUCAUUUCAGAGUGAGUAGCGACAGUGAAAUUAAUCCUCGGCGACUCGUCGUUGGUGCUCAAUUGAUGGAGAGCAUGAGCACGGAGCCCCUCACUGGCUUGAAGUGGUUUCCACCUGGAAAUUCUGAAAUUGGAGCCCCGGAUCAUCUGUGUGAGAGAGCGGGUUGCGACUGAGGACAAAGGAUGGAGCAGGAGGCGGCGCCCUCAUCUGGCCUGUUGGCGGACACUGCACUGAACUUUGAGACUGCCGUCAUAGCAAGAUGGAUGGGCCCAUGGCUGGAUCAGUAACGGACACAGAGCUGCACUUCGACUCAGACGCCAGCAAGGUGGAGGUGGGGUACUGGUAUGGGUUGGUAUUAUUAAAGAUGUGCUUGUUGGACCUCUUCGGGUUAAUGAUGGCCUCAAAAUCAACUCCAAAACCUACGGCCAGUUUUUAGAAGAGACUUUCUUCAAGCAGUGGCACAGGAAAAGGUCUGCAUCUUUCAAGAAGACCAUGAUUUUUAUGCAGGACAAUGCUCCGCCGCAUGCAUCAAAGUACUCCACUGCAUGGCUAGUCAGUAAAGGCCUUAAGGAUGAAAAAAAUAAUGGCAUGGUCCCCUUCCUCACCUGACCUAAACCCU